Molecule: ribosomal RNA, 460 nt
Filed under: uncultured bacterium
Lineage: Bacteria
Description: partial 16S ribosomal RNA
Rfam family: Bacterial small subunit ribosomal RNA
Source: RNAcentral
CCUACGGGAGGCAGCAGUGAGGAAUAUUGGUCAAUGGACGAGAGUCUGAACCAGCCAAGUCGCGUGAAGGAUGACUGCCCUAUGGGUUGUAAACUUCUUUUAUAUGGGAAUAAAAUGUUCCACGUGUGGGAUCUCGUAUGUACCAUAUGAAUAAGGAUCGGCUAACCCCGUGCCAGCAGCCGCGGUAAUAAGGAGGAUCCGGGCGUUAUCCGGAUUUGUUGGGGUUAAAGGGAGCGUAGGUUGAUUGUUAAGUCAGUUGUGAAAGUUUGCGGGUCAACCGUAAAAUUGCAGUUGAAACUGGCAGUCUUGAGUAGAGUAGAGGUGGGCGGAAUGCGUGGUGUAGCGGUGAAAUGCUUAGAUAUCACGAAGAACUCCGAUUGCGAAGGCAGCUCACUGGACUGCAACUGACACUGAGGCUCGAAAGUGUGGGUAUCGAACAGGAUUAGAUACCCGGGUAGUC